GUACACAGAGAAGUCUGUGUGGUGCAUAUCGUUGGCCUUUGGAAUUAUACCAGACCCGUCACCUAUUUAUCUAUUAUGUAGAGAGCGUACAUGCAGAAAAUAACAUGUGACCAUCGUGCCACUGUGGGACAGAGAGUAGACAUGUAUAUAUGCUUACGUGCUGUAUGUAUGCCGUACUAAAUGACUUCACAUGUAUACACAGUCGCCUAUAAUAUAUAUAUAUAUACCAGUGAGUACUUAUUAUACAUCUAAAAGGGAAGCUUUGAGGGAUAGGUUAUCGUCUUAGUCUGCAUGCUAGGACAUAAUGUUUGUUUCCAUAUCAGCACAACCCACAGUUAUUUCCUCUUCGACCAAACUGUACUUGUGAAGAAGCUGCAAUUAAGGUGCGCCACACUGGCCUCUCAUUAGGCCAUUUAAUACGGCCUUGGGUUCGUGUAAACGCUGUAGGCCUAUGCACCACAAGGAAGCUUGUACCCUGGAGUUCGAGCAUUUCACAGCUGGUGUAGGCCAUAUAUGGAUUUCUGAUCACUCCGGUGGUGUGAAAAUGUAGUACCUGCUUUUCUCACAGUUUCCGUGUGGAAAUUUUGUUCUGUUCCUUGUCAACAUUUGAACGUGUACAUGGCCUGGAGAUUACCGUUUUAAUGUGGAGAUGUGACGUUCUGGAAGCUGCGCCAUGAAAAUACAUGGGCUAAUCCAUGGUUGUAUACACACAGUCUAAUUUUGUGGUGAAGGCACAUUUAAUUAUUCCUGACAAUAUCUCUGCCUGUGUACCACAUAUAUACUGUUAUGUAGGAAUAUACCAUACUGGAAGGUGACCCGCUCGCCUCAUCGGAUCGAGAGAUAGCAGUUCAGAGUCACAAACGGAAGCAGCAAAAUUGCACAGCAGCCAGAAAAUACCGCGCCAAGAAAAAAGAAAUGGAAAAGUCUCUGAAAGAUGACCUGUCUAGCCUCAAAUCGAAAAACAUCGCCCUGAUCAGAGAGAAGGAGCAACUGACUGCUUCUGUGAAGUACCUAAGGCAGCUGCUGAAAGACCACGCCCACUGCCACGUGUCCCCACCGCUCCCCGUGCAUUGUCAGCACACCACGCGCUAGUAAACCGCCAUGUAGUCACAUAACCACAAGUAUAUGCAUACCAAAGACGUUCAUUUGAACGGGCAGUCAUCACACUUCUACGGCUAUUCAUUCGAUCAAUAGCCUACAUCCAGUCAUCGGGUCGAGAGAUUUUUCCGUGCAAUGUUCAGUAUUUUUGUUAAGUUUAUUCCAGGCCAGCUUGUCGAGAUUGUGCAUGCUGUAGUAUAUAUACUAUAUAACGCUAUGGUAUAAUUCCUUUUGUGAAGUACAUUCGUGGUUACAAACAGACAAUUAUGCUUAGCCAAAGAAAUUAAAUUUUUAUCCUGCUUACUUUGCCAUGCUUUAUUCUCGACGCAGUGGAAUCUGGUCGAAGCUGAACAUAAUUGUUUUAUUAUGCAUCGUAAUCUUAAAUAUUGUCGGUGCUUUGGUUUGAAUUCAAGGAGAUAUGCACAGAAAACGCGUUUAUGUCAUUAAGUAUCUAAGUACUUAAGUCAAAUCUAGGCCUGUGUAUCCCUUCCCAUCUGACCGCCGAGUUUUUCAGGCGGACGCGGACCUUUUCACGACUGACAGCCGCUAUAACUACACGUCCGUUUCAUUGCUGAGCAAGUCGCUUUUCUUUAUCCUCUGAUUGCGUGGUGUUUAUGUAGUCAUCUAGUAUAUCAGGUGAUUCGGAACGGAGGGGUUACCAGUCACCAUAUGUAUUUGCUAGGAGCCCGUCAUUAAACAAAUAAAUGUCAAACAAAUAAAAUAUUCUAAAAAUCAUCUGUUAUAUGAAAGUCCAUGCAAUUUGGAUGUCAUGUGUGUAUGAUAGGAGAGGUGUUUUUCAUACUUACUUUACAUAAGUGGCAUGUCUUUUUCUCAACCUAAAAAGAUCUCUAUAUAACAUCUUAUAUAAAUAUAGACUAGAUAAAGAAUGUACGGAAUAUUUUACGAAGAUAAUGUAAUGCUUAUAAACUGAAUAUGCAAUGCAAUAUAAUUUAUAAUGUAAGAAACACCUUACAUGUAUCUCUAUCGUAAGAUUAUCAGAAAUAAUAAUUUUAACGUCAAGUCCUCUGCAGCUGCAGCGAAAUAUAUAUCACUGGGUAUGUAUGUAAGAAGUGGUCAGCAUUUUAUGUGCAUAUCUGUACGGUUGUCCUACUAUAACAUAAACGUCAACUUUAACUAAAUUUAUUAAUUACAUUAGACUUAGCUAGAGCUGAAUUUAUUAAUUACAUUU
Molecule: RNA transcript, 2287 nt
Organism: Liolophura sinensis
Lineage: Eukaryota; Metazoa; Mollusca; Polyplacophora; Chitonida; Chitonidae
Exons: 3
Source: RefSeq, a predicted model, not a curated record